Small nucleolar RNA from Cricetulus griseus (Chinese hamster), 124 nucleotides. Lineage: Eukaryota; Metazoa; Chordata; Mammalia; Rodentia; Cricetidae. The record is from Ensembl.
GUUGAGAUCUGUCGUGGGGCUUCUCCUGUAACUGCACAUUGUUGGAAACCCCUCAUAUGGUAAUUGUUUUUGUAUUGCACACAGGACUAGUUCCCAGGUCUGGGGAAGGAACUGUGGGACAGCU